AGUUGAUGUGAGGAUAAAUCUUCACAGAAACUCUUUUGAUGUGUUGACCCUAAAAUUCAGACUACAAUUAUCUGAUCAGCU
This is a non-coding RNA of Oryza meridionalis, 81 nucleotides long. The record is from Rfam. Lineage: Eukaryota; Viridiplantae; Streptophyta; Magnoliopsida; Poales; Poaceae.